This 532-nucleotide ribosomal RNA is filed under the name Streptococcus sp. W9. RNAcentral describes it as "bacterial SSU rRNA". It matches the Rfam family "Bacterial small subunit ribosomal RNA", at positions 8 to 524 of the family's 1533-position model. The record is from RNAcentral. Lineage: Bacteria; Bacillati; Bacillota; Bacilli; Lactobacillales; Streptococcaceae.
AGAGUUUGAUCCUGGCUCAGGACGAACGCUGGCGGCGUGCCUAAUACAUGCAAGUAGAACAACUGAAGCCUUUAGCUUGCUAAAGUUGAAGAGUUGCGAACGGGUGAGUAACGCGUAGGUAACCUGCCUACUAGCGGGGGAUAACUAUUGGAAACGAUAGCUAAUACCGCAUAACAGCAUUUAACACAUGUUAGAUGCUUGAAAGGAGCAAUUGCUUCACUAGUAGAUGGACCUGCGUUGUAUUAGCUAGUUGGUGAGGUAACGGCUCACCAAGGCGACGAUACAUAGCCGACCUGAGAGGGUGAUCGGCCACACUGGGACUGAGACACGGCCCAGACUCUACGGGAGGCAGCAGUAGGGAAUCUUCGGCAAUGGGGGCAACCCUGACCGAGCAACGCCGCGUGAGUGAAGAAGGUUUUCGGAUCGUAAAACUCUGUUGUAAGAGAAGAACGUGUGUGAGAGUGGAAAAUUCACACAGUGACGGUAACUUACCAGAAAGGGACGGCUAAUACGUGCCAGCAGCCGCGGUAAU